This 408-nucleotide ribosomal RNA is filed under the name uncultured microorganism. RNAcentral describes it as "bacterial SSU rRNA". It matches the Rfam family "Archaeal small subunit ribosomal RNA", at positions 330 to 745 of the family's 1478-position model. The record is from RNAcentral.
AUGCAGCAGGCGCGAAACUUUACAAUGUGCGAAAGCACGAUAAGGGAACUCUGAGUGCCUCCUAAGGAGGCUGUUCAGGUGUCUAAAAGCACCUGAAGGAAGGGCCGGGUAAGACCGGUGCCAGCCGCCGCGGUAACACCGGCAGCCCAAGUGGUAGCCACGUUUAUUGGGUCUAAAGCGUCCGUAGCCGGCUGGGUAAGUUCCUUGGGAAAUUUGGCUGCUUAACAGUCAAGCUUUCAGGGAAUACUGCCCGGCUUGGGACCGGGAGAGGUCAGAGGUACUCCAGGGGUAGGGGUGAAAUCCAUUAAUCCUUGGGGGACCACCGGUAGCGAAGGCGUCUGACCAGACCGGGUCCGACGGUGAGGGACGAAGGCUAGGGGCGCGAACCGGAUUAGAUACCCGUGUAGU